ACGAUGGCCGACCGGGCACCUGCCUGGCUGUAGGAGGCCUCUAGAAGGGAGGAGAAAGUCCUGGCAGUCUUUGUUGAGACUGUUGAGUGCCAUGUCCUUCAAGACUGUCCCUCUUAGGCAGCUGUGUGCCCUGAUGUAUUUUGCCACUGGGGCUCAAACAAUUUGAGGAAAGGAUCAAGCUUUCCUGUAAGCAGAGUUCAGAAUACGAGCAUGGAUGAGAAUCCAGAAAAUUCUACAUGCCAUCAAUCGGACAGUCAGCCAGCUUAUUGUUUUGUUCACCGAGGCACUGUCUUUGCUCUAUGGACUUCUGCAUCUUGAGAUUCUCCACCUAGAGGUCCUGCCUGCAACUUUUGGAGGAUGGAGGAUGAAGAGCCAGGGCCAUAUUCCUGGAAGAGGCUGUGUGUUUCUGAAGGAGUUCUCUAGGCUUUCCUUGCCUUACCUUGCUUUAACCUUGCACCUGGAGAAGGAGAUGACACCUGGGCCAUCACUCCCCGUGUCUCCUACUCCAACCCUCUGCAUAAUGCUCCUGUGUCCUGGAGAGCGGUGGAGAGGGUGGCUGGGCUUUGUCAGGAAUUCUUCAGGGUACUACAUGUCAGGGAAACCCACUCACUCUUAGAGAUUUUCUCCUUACUCUAAUCCAUGGAAGAUUUAUCUUUCUUUGCUCUUUUACUAGUGAUGAAAGUAUCACAACUUCUUGCGAGGAAGAGAACAUCACCUUCUGAAAUUUAGUUCAUUUUCCUUCUUCCCAGCCUCAGCAGAAGCACUGUGACUUUGUGGCUUAUCUGACUUCUCAUGGUGAAAGUGGAAACAACGGGCUUUGUGAUUUUCUGCAUCCUAAUUGCAAAUAGAGCUCAGUUCUAUUUUUUAUUUACUUUAUCACUUCAGUUUCUGGAUAUCUAUCCAUGCAGUUGAGAUGGGGAUAGAUUUGUGUGAGUACAAUUUAAAGUCCCUGGUCUCUUCCUGUAUUGACAGCUUCGUUUUGGGCAAUGCUCAUGAUUUCUGACACCUAACGGAUUUUCUCUCAAUUAGCUUUACAGAACCCUACGAUUUUUCCAUUGUGCAGGAAUAUGCACUGUUUCUCAGCAAGUGCAUCUUUUAUUGUUGCAGUGAGAAUAUCUUUGUGUAGGAGGAGACACAAUAUUUUAAGAGCAGUUUUAGGUUGGUGACAUCGUAAAAAAAGAGGGGCUGGAGAGUUGGGGUAGGUGCCAGAGAUGCCAUCUCUUAACAUCUAUAUGGUGUCUGCUUUGAGCCACUUUUUUCACAGUUAAUCUUGGGGACAACCCCAUGAGAUAAAUACUCUCAUGUAACACAUAAGGAAGCUGACACUUAGCAAAGGAAUUUGAACUCACUCCAGGCCAGAAUGGAGGCAGUGAGAGGCCCAUUCCUGCCAUUCACCUUGCCUUCCUCUGGACUAAUAAAGAAAUGGCAGAGAAGAAAAAAGCCUAGUGUUUAAGUGGAGAGUUUUGGAGUGAGGAUCCCCAGUAGAUUUUUAGAGAAGUGUUUCCAAAGGAUGGAAAAACUCCAAAUUUCAGAAAAUUGCUGAUAUUCAGAAAAAUAAUUAAGUGACCUACUCAAGGUGACCAAAAAAUACAUGGUUUGAUUGUGAAGUAGGGUCCUGAUGGAAAAAAUAUUGGUCUCAGAAACCAGAGCGUCCCUGAGACUGUGCACUGGGGAUCCUCCACAGGAUUUUCUCCAUUCACUGGAUUUAUAGCAGAGAAUGGACAGUGGGGCGCUGGCCACACACACACUUUCUCCAUGCCAGAGGUCAUCUGACACUCAGACUCUUUUUCCCAGCCUCUGUAGCAUACACAGGAAAAGCCAAAAUGUAAUUAGUUAAUAGCAGAUUUCCUUUGUUAGUGGAAAGGGCAUUUCAAACUUACUUACGUGAACUGAUACUGUGGGAUUUGUCAGAAACCAUCAAUACGAUGCAACAGAAAGAAUUCACAGGUCACUUGUCAGGGGGGACAAAGCUUGUCUUGCUGAAGCUUUGAGAUCCAGAGUGGCUCUGCAUAUCACUACCUCACUAGAAUACAGGAGUAACCAGAAAAAAAAGCUGGCACUCCCUUCUGAGUUCCAUCCCCAUAAUAAUAGCAAUGUAUCCAGGUUCCUUUACACCUGUAGGUAUUAUCUCAGCCACUCCUCACUAUAACUGUAGAUAUUAAUUCUGACCCUAUUUAUAUAGACUUAGGCCAACAGGCAGUCGGAGUUGAGCCUGGGAUUUGGCCUAGGACUGCCUGAAUUGUAGGUCUCAGAGGUGAACUACUUUGUUCAGGGACUUUCCACUUAGCAUUUGGGGUACUGAAACCCCUAAGAGAAGCUGCUGCUUAGAUCUAAAUGCAGAUGUUCAAUCAUCAACCUCUUUUCUUCCUGGACUCACAGGAACAGUACAUUUCCCAGACUCCCUUGCAGCUGGGAAUAGCUAUUUGACUGAGUGACAACCAAUGUACAGUGAGAAGAAGGGCUGCCUUAACUCUUUCAUAGUGUGAUCCUCACGCUGGUUAAAUGACAGUGAUUCCCUGAAAGCCGUUUGUUGAGGGUGGCUGAUCCACAGGUUAGAAGGAGCUUGGGUUUCUAUUAUUAUUAUUAUUAUUAUUUUGGUCUUUUUCGUUUUAUCGGUACCAGGGAUCAAACUCACGACUGCCUGCUUGCAAGGCAGGCGCUUAUGCCACUGAGCUAAAUCCCCAGCCCCUCUAUUCUUACUAUGAACACCCACAUCAUAUUCUUUUACUGGUUUAAUCUACUUAGAUAGGAAGCUUUUCAGUGGUAGCAACUAGUGCUAUACUAAACAAUAUAAGUACAAUCUAGCAGGCAGGUCACUGAGGUUACCGAGGAGCUAGCAAGUGGGUUUUAGAGCCCAGGGAUUUAGCUCAGCAGUGCAAACGCUUGCCUGGUAAACGUGAGGUCAUGUGUUCAAUCUCUGGUACAAAAAAAAGUCCUUCAUUUAUGGGCCAGGGAUAUAGCUCAGAGGUGUAAGUGCCUGCCUGGCAAGCAUGAGGUCUUGAGUUCAAUCCCUGAUACCAAAAAAAAAAAAAAAAAAAAGAAAAGAAAAAAAAGGAAGUGGGCCUUAGUGUUUUCUGUGGUUAACCUGCCUUGCAUGGUAAGGGUGGGUGAGUAAGCUUGGUCCCCAUUGUUGUACAGAUUCAGGUUUAGAUAUAGGCUUAGUCACAAGUUCACUGGGAGAUCUAAAAUAAUUAAAUUUUUCCAAAUAUUUCUAUUUUCCUAAAGGUUGGAAUAAUAUAUCAUUCUGCAUGAAUUUAAUUUAUUCAGAAAAAUUUAUUAAACAUUUACUCCAUGCUAGGAAAAAAAGGCAGUGAAGAAUGAUGAGAUCUCUGCCUUUUUAGCAGUUACAUUAUGACAGCAAUGAUGUUUAGGGGGGUAUGAGCAAUAAAUGAGUAAGUAAGGCUGUCAUGAGUGACUAGUACAUGGAGAACUAAUACAGUAGAGUAAGGGGAACAUGACUUUAGGUGACUGGGAGCUGUCUUUUCCUAAGGAUGUUUGAACAGAGAUCUGAAGACUGGAAGGGGGUGGCCACGCAGGUGUCUGGUAAAGUGUGGCUGGGCAGAAGGAAGAUUAGCAACGUGGCUGGUGGGAGCAGAGCCACGAGGGCCAGGGAAGUGGGAUGAUGUUGGAGAAAGCACCCAGCAUUCUGCCUGCGUGGAUGCGGGCUUUCCAUAAAUGUGAAGGUCCUUCCUGGUUGAUGGCCUCCUGGUUUCCUGGGAAAUUCUCACUGCUAACAAGAAUAAGAACGACAACAACAAUGAAAAGCAAACCAAGCAUAAAGUUCUCUCAUGUCUGAAAUGGCACCAGAAUGCAUGGUCUUUUAGCCUGAAGCUCAGUUCCUGUAUCGCACAGAUCUUCCUGUUAAAGGACACUGUUCUAAGCUAGCUCAGUUAUUAUAUCUGAGUAGGUUGAUGGCAAAUUUGACAGAGCUUAGUAAGGGAGAAAGGGCAGAUGGAUUUGAGUGUCUAGACAGGUAUAAAAAUGGAGAUACAGUCAGGGGAAGGAGAGGAAAGAGGGUGCGAGGAAGCUUAAGCCAGCCCUGAGGUCACAUUUUGAAGCUCCUCUGUAUUGUAGUUUUAGGUGCCCAUCAAAGGAACUUCAUCUGCAGACAGUAUUGAUUCAAAGAAAGGCUUGCCCAUCACACACAAGGUUGUCUUGUAUUGAAAGAAUGAGUUCCCUGUCACCCCAAGAAGGGAUGACCCCCACCCUUAACCCUGUUGCUAAAGACCAACAGAGGAGAGAGCCCCCACAAAGCGCCAACAAGAGUCAAAGGUCCACUUGCCUCUAGGCUACUGUUCUCUCAGCUUUCCAAACAUCCUUUGUCAGAAUUCUUGGUUUUAAGCAACAACAACAACAAAAAAAACUCUGUUUCAAGAAUAAAGUGGAUUUAUUAGAUAA
Long non-coding RNA from Cavia porcellus (domestic guinea pig), 4398 nucleotides. RefSeq lists it as uncharacterized. The record is from RefSeq and is a predicted model, not a curated record. The transcript has 2 exons. Lineage: Eukaryota; Metazoa; Chordata; Mammalia; Rodentia; Caviidae.